GUUUGUUGAAAGAUAAAGGAUCCCAAUAACAUAGUAAAGCAAGGAAAGAGAAGGGAGUGGUAGAAUUAUGAUAUAAUUCAUUUCUCUACCAUACACUUUAUGUGUACAUAGCCGACCCCACUUAGUGGGAAAAGGCUUUGUUGUUGUUGUUGUUGUACACUUUAUGUGUACAAAGUAAUGAAUUACAAGUCCAAAAGUCAUAAUCGUACUGUGGAGAAUACAUACUUAGACUACUUAGAAUAAUUUAUAAGGUUGGAGCGAGGGAAUCCAAGUUGUUUUAAUGAUUUGCUCCUCAUUGUCAUCAACCGCAAAAUGUUUAAGAUAUGGAUUUUCAACUACCUCUGACAUGAUUAAAUAUUUCAAAACAG
RNAcentral lists this long non-coding RNA (368 nucleotides) under Malus domestica (apple). RNAcentral describes it as "long non-coding RNA (MDOM_LNC010210)". Lineage: Eukaryota; Viridiplantae; Streptophyta; Magnoliopsida; Rosales; Rosaceae. The record is from RNAcentral.